UAAGAGUUAGUUUAUUAUAGAAUUGUUGACUGUUAAUCAAAAGGUUUACUCUUAA
Molecule: transfer RNA, 55 nt
Filed under: Caenorhabditis sp.
Lineage: Eukaryota; Metazoa; Nematoda; Chromadorea; Rhabditida; Rhabditidae
Description: tRNA-Asn
Source: RNAcentral